RNAcentral lists this ribosomal RNA (512 nucleotides) under uncultured bacterium. RNAcentral describes it as "partial 16S ribosomal RNA". It matches the Rfam family "Bacterial small subunit ribosomal RNA", at positions 28 to 507 of the family's 1533-position model. The record is from RNAcentral.
GAUGAACGCUGGCGGCGUGCCUAAUACAUGCAAGUCGAACGAAACUUCUUUAUCACCGAGUGCUUGCACUCACCGAUAAAGAGUUGAGUGGCGAACGGGUGAGUAACACGUGGGCAACCUGCCCAAAAGAGGGGGAUAACACUUGGAAACAGGUGCUAAUACCGCAUAACCAUAGUUACCGCAUGGUAACUAUGUAAAAGGUGGCUAUACUACCGCUUUUGGAUGGGCCGGCGGCGCAUUAGCUAGUUGGUAGGGUAAAGGCUUACCAAGGCAAUGAUGCGUAGCCGAAUUGAGAGGUUGAUCGGCCACAUUGGGACUGAGACACGGCCCAAACUCCUACGGGAGGCAGCAGUAGGGAAUCUUCCACAAUGGGCGAAAGCCUGAUGGAGCAACGCCGCGUGGGUGAAGAAGGUCUUCGGAUCGUAAAACCCUGUUGUUAGAGAAGAAAGUGCGUGAGAGUAACUGUUCACGUUUCGACGGUAUCUAACCAGAAAGCCACUGCUAACUACGUG